Molecule: ribosomal RNA, 207 nt
Filed under: uncultured bacterium
Lineage: Bacteria
Description: partial 16S ribosomal RNA
Rfam family: Bacterial small subunit ribosomal RNA
Source: RNAcentral
CGCGUAGGUGGUUUGUUAAGUUGGAUGUGAAAGCCUCGGGCUCAACCUGGGAACUGCAUCCAAAACUGGCAAGCUAGAGUACGGUAGAGGGUGGUGGAGUUUCCUGUGUAGCGGUGAAAUGCGUAGAUAUAGGAAGGAACACCAGUGGCGAAGGCGACCACCUGGACUGAUACUGACACUGAGGUGCGAAAGCGUGGGGAGCAAACA